AUGGGGAUGGGCUGGGGUGGGGGGAAAAUUAUCAUAAACUGCCUGAGAAAUAGCUUUAGGAUUUUUGUAGGCAUUCAUUCUAGCGCAGCAGGCGACGCACGCAGUACAUACGGCUCUCCUUGGCCGGGCCGCGGGCUCGGGAACAGCCAAGGGUGUGGGAACGGGGCACGGGAAUGGAAUAUCUGUGUGCUUGCCAAAAACAGCAGCCUCUGGCGAUGCUCCCCCGCGGGCGGGCGGGCCGGGCAGUCGGUGCCCACUGGCUGGCGAGACCCCUCCCCGGGAAGUGGGACCGUAUCCCUUGGGAAGAGCGCCUGCAGCAGGACGGGCUCUGGGGGGAGACAGGGCACAGAGCACCCUGAAAUGCACCUUCACGCCGUGCCCGGGCUCUCCUGGGUCCAUGCGCAGGAAGGGGCAGUUCGGACACGAUCCAGCUCUCCGAAAGCUUGAAGGGCUUUGGCAGACACCAGUUUUCCUCAAAAAGGGUUUUCCUACACCAGUUUUCCUAAACCAGCUGGAAAGGGAGGCUGAGGGGGUAUGAAACAGGUAUGAAACAGGAUGCAGCUGCGUCCACAGCCUGCUUGGGCCUCCUGGAUACUGGAAAGCUUAAUCCAGGGAGUAAGAGGCAGAUUUUUAAGGCUUAAUCCCGUUUGCAGUUUGCAUGACAAAUGGAUGCAGAAAGCAUCCUUUCAUCCUUCCUAGCAGAGCAGGGAACUCUGCCAUCUCUGACCAGGGUCACUGGAACACUGGAGUUCCUCUUUCCCAGGAAAGCCUUGCCUCUGCCCGGGUGCAGUGGGUGUGCAGAGGGAGGAUGUGUUAGUGCUGCUUUUCAAAGAAAAUGGUGGGUUUUAUCAAACGACAUCCGUGAAAGCAUUUUAAAAAUGCAUUCCCAUUCCACAUGGGCCAAAGCUUUAAAUCAGGAAAAUGGGAAGAAAUUAUUUUUUUAUUGAAGGAUGCAACUGAAAUAAUGAUCCUUUGGGAUUCUGCCUGAAGGUUUCUAGGCCUCAAAAGGUAAGGGUGAGCUGUGUGGAAAAUCUGCUCAAGUCUUGAUGCAGUGAUUUAGUGGAAGGAAAAAGGAAAAAGAAGGAAUUUCCUUGUCUUGCCAGUUGCUCUGGCAGUUUCCUGGGGAAAGGUGUCAGCACUCUGAUCCCAAAAUGCAGCAGCCAACUCAGGGCUGGAGGAUUUGGAGCAGAAGGGUCUGUUCCCGACCUGUGUAGGUGUUAGGGAGAGCUUCCUCCCUGCAGGCGCUCUCCUCUGGGAUGCUGGUUCCCCAUCCCCCUGCCAGCCUGCCUUGUCACCCUGUGCAGGGACACCCCAGCCCCGCUCACCCCUGGGCUCACGGUCACAAACUGGCACAAAACCUGCCUGGAUGCCACCUUUGCCAACUCCUUCAGCAGCUGGAGCCUGGCCAGGCUGGGGGGGCUUCAGAGGAGCUGGGAGCUGCUUUGGGGUCAGCUUCCCCCGAGUGGGAGCAGAGGGAGAGGAGUAGAGUCACAGGGGGAUUUAUCCUCCUCCUGCAUUCCUCUGCCAGGUGUCAGCACCAGCUGAGCCUUGGAAUGAGGUGGAUGGCAUAAAAAUGUCCCAGAAUGAGGGCAAAGCAGAAGAAAAUGUAUGUUUUUUUAUAAACGUUUCCCAACUAAGCAUUUAUCCCAAAGUUUCUAAUUUGGAAAAACAAGACAAAAAAAAAUUGAUGAUUAUUGUGAAAUGAACAGGGGUGACCUAAAGGGAGGGGUUGGGGGAGGAGAGGAAAUCCUCCAAAAAUCCUUGCAGGGGGGUCACCCACACAUCCCUCCUGAGCUGAUACCUGCCCUGACCUUCUCCUCUCCCAAGGAUUCAUUGAUUUGGGUGUGGAGACCUGGGGAAGGGUCCAGGAUGGCAGUGCCAGGGUUCCAGAUACCGGCAUCCCUGCAGAAGAAGGCACGGAGCGAUGUGUGGGAUAAAAUUACCCCAUCAAAAUCUUGUCAUAUCAAAUUCCUGCCACAAAGGCUUUUCCAAAUAAUGGUUUGAUUCCUUUCCAAUGAUAAAUUUGGAGUUCCCUCUCCCGUUCCUGCGCUCUGGAGGGCCUUGGGCAGACAAGGGUGAAGCCCCGUGGUGCCAGGGAGGGCUCCUGGCAGGCUUUGUGCAGUUAAACCCCCCGUCUCCCCUCCCCAAGACGAACCCAGUGGGUACCACUGUGUGCCAGGGACAUGCUCGGCUCUCACCUCCGGAAUGCCGGCGCGGCAUCGGCGGCAGAAGCGGAUCUCCCUCCCUCCAUCUCCGUUUGUCCGUUGAGAAGUGGGAGAGACACUGCGGACCAUGGUCCUCCUCGCCCACGCUGUGCCCCCCGACCCGGCGAUGCCCGAUGUACCGGACGCGCACCUGAGCUCUUUGCACGGCCUUUGCUUUGGAAAUUAGGCGGGAUAACGACAUCUCAUCGCUCUUGUUUUGUAUUUCAAUUUUUUUUUCCUUCACAAAAAAGAAACUAAACCCAACUCACCGAGGUCUGCCCCGCUGGGAGCGACACAGCAGGAGGGCCCAGCAGAGCAGUUUUCUCCAGAGACCCCAGCGGGGAGGCGGCGGCGAGACCCCCCUGGCACUUGACGCCACCGGUGCAGAGCGAACCCUGAGCGGGGAAAAAAAACCAAAAAAACAUUUUUGCUCAUGGACUUCACGCCCUGACUCCCAAGUUCACACUUCUGCCUGGAAACUGAGAGCCUGGAAAACCACGAAAUCCAAGACCCAAACGCUCUGGGUUCCGUAGAUGCAGGUUUAGAUGUGCCUGGCGGGGAAGGCGCCGGCGGUUCAGCGCCGGGCUGUGCCGUGCCGGACGGAUCCGCAGCAGCGCGGCAGCAGAACUCCACGGUCCCCUGGGCUGGAGCCACGGGCAAGUAUGGCUCGUGGGAAGGCGGGGCUGCCCCGGUCAGGCACGGCUUCACGUUGUGGUGAAAGGGGCUUGGGGGCUGUUUGUCGGGGUCUUCAUUUUGUUGGGGGCUUAGGGUUAUUUUAUUAUUCUAUUUUUUUUUUUGUCCGGGUCAUUAUCCUUUAUUUCCCCCCAGACUGUAGUAUCCAGUAAACUCCUCCUAAUUUUCAAAAGACAACGAGAAGAAUGACAAUCUAAGAAACCAACACCCUCCUUUGUGCUUCUAUAAAUAUGUUUCUGAUCUAAUUUUAUUUCUUGUGCUCAUCUGUACUGUUGACAGUUACAAUUGUGUAUAAUUUUUUUUUUAAUUUGGAAUUUUUGCGUUGUAUAGGGUUUAGUUUUAAAAUAUAUAUAUAUAUUUUCCAUUUUUUAAAAAGGGGUGUUGCAAAAAAAAAUUGCACGAUUUAAAUGACAAUAGUUAAAAUGCUGCAGUUUUUAGAGAUGUGGAAGCAAAAUGGAGCUUAUUUAUUCUCAAAGGCUAUAAAGGUGUAAAAUGCAUGAAGAAAAAAAACAUUUACAAAAAAAAAAAAAGACAAAAAAAGUGUAACCUGAACAAAGUGUAGCGUUAAAGAUUUUAAAGGAUGACGACAACAAGAAAAAAAGAAAAAAAACAACAAAAAAACAGCUAAUAUAUUGUGUUUGGGCUAGUUUGCUUUUGUUUUUAAUUGUUCCUUUUUUGGAGAAUGAAAUACAAUUGUGUAUAUUUUCAUAUAAGAAGUAUGCACUGAGAUGUUUCCAAACUGAUAUAUUCCUUUCUAAACGUGUGGUUACUUACCAAAGUCUGUUUCUGAUCUUUACCUUCUGAACUCUCUGUGGAUGCUCCAGCCCACGCCCGCCGGGGCCCGACGCCGCGGCCGCAGGUAAGCCAAGGUGGGGGCACCGGCGUCGCCCCCUCCUCUCCCUGCCCCAGGGCGGCUGAUUUGGGGUGCUGGUGGAUGUGACCGCGGUGCUGGUGUUGUGGGAGGGGCUGUGACCCCCGGCCCGGGAAGGCUGGUCUUUCCCAGGGCUUGGCUGGCUGGUUUUGGGGUGUUUGUGCCGGCAGCGGGGGACAGGGCUGGCCAGGACCGCAGUGUCCCUUGCGGGACGAUGCCAGGGGAGCAGUGUUGCAGGGGGCAGAUGCAGAGGAAGGGAUGAGUCCCACGUGCCAGGAGCACGGAGCGUGCGAGGGCUCUGCCGCCAGCGUGUGCCGGAGUGGCCGGGGUUUGGUGCAGAGAGGAGGAGGAGGAUGGAAGGAGGUUGCGGGGUCUGGCUCAGGUGAUGCUGCUACUGGUAGCCAUAGGAGCAGGAUGGGGUGGGAAGCUGCUUGCCCACCCCGGGAGGAGAUUUAGGGAUGGAGCAGGCCCUAAGUGAUAUCUCGAACCUGAAAUCCCGGGAAGGGCUGCUGGCAUGUGGUGAGGAUGGUGAUGGAUCGAGGGGGAUGGUCUCGCCUGCUCUGGGCGGCUGUGGGGCUGAUCAGCUGGUGCCAGGGUGGGGUGUGGGGGACAGGGUGACCCCCUGCUGAUUGGGGUGGUUUUGGGUGGUGGCGAAGAGCUCGGCUGUGUUGGACGUUUGGAUGAGGGCGUCGGUGCUGGAGGGAUCCGGCAGUGGGUUGUGGUUGUGCGAGGGGCACCACCAGGGGUGGUGGCAAGGAGACCCUUGGGGAAGGGUUUUGCUGCUGUUGUGUGUUUGGGGCUGCUGCCAGUGUUGGGAUUGGAGGGUGAUGGAAGUGUUAAAUCCAGAGCUGUUGGCAAUGGGGCCAUGUGUGGGCCUGGGGGAAAGUGGGGCAAGGAGAAAGAGUUUCCUUUUCUUCCCCCCUUUUUCACUUCCAUCUUCCCUCCCAAAAUAAUCUUGGCAAACCAGGGAAAAAAGCAAAUUUACAAAAACCCCCACCUUUUCCUUGAAAAUUUCACCUCCUGCACUUUUUUCUUCCCUUAUGUUGCUCAUUUGGGAGAUUCCCCCUAACGCUUUGGAUGGGAAUUGUGAAGUUUGUCACCAGCUCUGGGGAAAAGGCUGCUAACUGCUUCUGCCAGCCUAGAGCUCUGCCAGGGGUGAGGGGCCCUCAGCGUUUCAGGGGUCCCCUCCGCACGGGUCCCUCUGUGUUGCUGGGGUGAGCAUCCAUUGGAUGAGGAAGGAUAUUCCCAACCAUGCCUUGGUCGUGCCAUCCCUGGUGCCACAUCCUGCCUUGCCCUCCCAUCCUUCUGGCUGAGGGCACAAUUUGGGAAUAUUUUGAGGAUUUUUACCACUUAAAGUGGCAAAAAUUCAUCUCUAUCCACCUCUCCCAGGGCUGUGGGCAAGUCCAUAACUAUGGGCUUCAGCUGAACGUUUGCUCGUUUCCCUUUCCCAUGUUUAUCCUUUGCCUUCCCCUCUCACUUCACUUUUCUUUCUUCUCUUUUUUCUUUCUUUUCUCUUUUUUCUCCUUUUCUAUCUUUUUUUGUUUCGUUUUGGUUUGGUUUUUUGUUUCUUUUUCUCUUCCACAAAAAAUCCCAACCAGACCCGUAAACCAAGUAUUAUGUUUUCACUACCUCCAUCCAUCACCCUUCCCUUUCCGAUGCCAGAAGCCAUGCUCGGGAUGUAAGAGGGCCUUUCCCCCUUUAUUUUCCCCUUUCCUCCAGAGAUUUUAUCUCCUCUGUGUCCCUCUGCCCCUCCUCUCUCUGGUCUCUCACCUGUAGUGUUUUACCUGGCUACUGUAACUGUAAAUAGCGAGUUUCAAUCUGUUAGCGAUGGUAACAGUACAGAAAACUGGUUUUGGGGGGUUUUUUUGUUGUAUUGAUAUGAAAUGAGAUUAUAUUUUUGUCAGAGUAUAUUGUAAUAAUACUGACUUUGGACAUGGCCGAGUUGUACAGCGAUUUCUUGUUUAACCCUCUUGGCUCUUCCCUUGCUCUUCCCCUCCCUGUCCCUCCCUGCUCCCCAGGUUUCCGUGUCCCAGACCCAGACCUGGCCGGGCUCCCAGCUGGGAGCAGCCACUUGGCAAUGGCUUCACACCAGGGAUGCUUUUCCACAGGGUUCCCAACACGCUGGCGUGUCCCCCCGUGGGUCUGGAGAGGUGAGAAACAUGCAGGAGGAUAUUUAAGUGAGCCUUGGAUAUAAGGAGGUUCCUGGUGUGCAGGGAUGCUCCCACUCUCUGCUACACUCCCGGCAGGAAUCAGGGACCUCGGAGGAAUGGAUGAGGUCAUUCCAGCUCCCCUCUCCUCCCUAGCGAGUGGAAAACCACGUUGUUUUCCAGUUUCUUCCUCCCGAGCUCCGUUCUCUGGAGCGAUGCCUGUUUGGAAUGUGCUUUCCUUAAGCCAGAAGAGGGUGGUGUGGCUCAGACUGCGCCGGGAUCGUCUCCGAGCAGUCUGAAGUAGUUUUCCGGGAACUGGAAGUUUUACAACAUCCCCAGCCCAUUGCUGCGAGGAGAGGCGUUGGUGAGCCGGGGUGAGCUGUUCCCCCCCUGCAUCCCACCCACAAAGGAGGGAUUUCUUCCCUUCGGCUGGGUUUCCAGAGCGGGAUUUUCCUGCUGGUGCCACCGAGAUGUAGAGACCAGCCCAGUUCCUUGCUCUCUGGGCACAAACCCACUGCAGAGCCCUAUGGAACAUCCUUUCCACAGGGAAGCACGCUGUCGUGGGACAAUGCUGAGAUGUCCCCGUGGGCUCCCAGCAUCUCCUGCAAGGCCGAGGGGUGAAGCAGCCCAGCUCGGGCCACGACACCCCUCCUCCCCACGGCUCUUUCUGAGCAGUGUGCAGGCAAAUAGGACACUGAAGAGGUGGGGACCAUCACGGCUGUGCUGCUGCUCCCCUUUUGUGUCCCACAUGGCCUCUGGGUUGGGUCUCCCCCAUCCCCUUCAUGCCUCUGGUUCCCUGUAGCUCAGUAAAGCAGCUUCUCUGUGUGAUGGUUCGUUGGAUCUCCCCGCUCAGCCCGUCUGUAACAGCACAGGCAGCUCUGCAUCCUCUCCCCAGGGUGCUGCACAGGUAGAAACAAAACAGGACGUGCACUUCCCCUGAGGAGUUUUAUUUAUUGUUUUGAGAAGCAAUUUAAAAGGAAAAAAAAAAUAAACUGUGUAUCUAUAAUAUAUAUAUAUAUAUUUUUAACCUCUUUUCUUUUCCUGAUGCUCCUCCACCCGUGUGUGUGUGCGUGUGUGUGUGCGCGAGUCAAGGGAUUCUGAGUGGGGACCACGGUGUCCUCUUCCCCGUGUCCAGCUCUCCAGGGGAUCAGGGUGUCCCCUUCCCCAUGUCCAGCUCUCCAGGGGAUCAGGGUGUCCCCUUCCCUGUGUCCAGCUCUCCAGGGGAUCAGGGUGUCCCCUUCCCCAUGUCCAGCUCUCCAGGGGAUCAGGGUGUCCCCUUCCCCGUGUCCAGCUCUCCAGGGGAUCAGGGUGUCCCCUUCCCCGUGUCCAGCUCUCCGGGGGACCACGGUGUCCCCUUCCCCGUGUCCAGCUCUCCAGGGGCGAUGCAGCAGAAGCCCAGAAGCAGCAGUGGGAGGGGAGGGAGGAUUUAUGCUGAGAGCUUGUAACGUUUUAACCGUGGUUUUUGAAUAAUUCCAUCUUUCUCUGGAGUAUUUGCACCCUUGGGGUCUGGCCUGACCGAGAACCUCCCCCACCCUGGGGAUGCCGUCGCCCCCCAUCCCCAUCCCCUCCUGUCCCUGCUCCCUUGACAAUCAAUGGCUCCUUCCCAGGGACUGCAGCACGUGGUUGAGACGUCUGUUUCGUUUUUUCAAUAUUCCUUUUUUGUGCUGUAUGGUGAUGCGUUAUUGUAUAUUCCACAAUAAGAAAAAAAAUAUAUAAAAAAAUGAUGAUAAUAAUAAUAAUUACCAUGAGAAAUUCUUAUGAGUUUUGUUUGGAAACUCUUUCACUAUAUUUGUUGUAAAGAGGUUUACUAUUAAAAAGAAAAAAAAUACACGUUUCUGAUAAUUU
This is a long non-coding RNA of Lepidothrix coronata (blue-crowned manakin), 7760 nucleotides long. RefSeq lists it as uncharacterized. The record is from RefSeq and is a predicted model, not a curated record. The transcript has 2 exons. NCBI's taxonomy places the organism in Eukaryota, Metazoa, Chordata, Aves, Passeriformes, Pipridae.